CGGAGCCGUUAUGAGAGAAGA
Molecule: microRNA, 21 nt
Filed under: Drosophila pseudoobscura
Lineage: Eukaryota; Metazoa; Arthropoda; Insecta; Diptera; Drosophilidae
Description: dps-miR-2573-5p
Source: miRBase by way of RNAcentral